AGGAAGCAAAGGAUGGCCCAGUCGAUUCUGAUGCUGAGGAAGGCGAUGAUGAUGAUGCUGCUGAUGAAACAGAUAGUGAUGAUGCAGACGCCAAAUCAGAAACAAAGGAAGAUGUUACUGCCGCAGCUGAGGAAAAUGUUAAAGACGAGCUGUAGGAAAGUACGUGCGAGUGCUGUGGUUGGCCCAACAUGCUGCUGCGAAGAAAGAG
Non-coding RNA from Coffea arabica (coffee), 208 nucleotides. The record is from RefSeq and is a predicted model, not a curated record. Lineage: Eukaryota; Viridiplantae; Streptophyta; Magnoliopsida; Gentianales; Rubiaceae.